AGCCAAGUUGUCUUUGUAUGCAUUGCUUGUUCCUUUUAAGUUCUGGAUCAGAAGGAUGAAUACUUUCAAGUAAACAAAAUGUCAACAAAACAUAAUGGAUAUUUUGUAAACAAUGGAAAAUUAGAGCAAAUAUAAGCUGAGUCAAGCAUCAAGAAAUCAACUAGUUUUGGUGUCACAUAAUGUUGGGUAAGUAAGACUUAUAAUAUCAGUUUUAAUUUAUUGUUUCGAGAAA
Long non-coding RNA from Zingiber officinale, 232 nucleotides. RefSeq lists it as uncharacterized. The record is from RefSeq and is a predicted model, not a curated record. The transcript is spliced from 3 exons. NCBI's taxonomy places the organism in Eukaryota, Viridiplantae, Streptophyta, Magnoliopsida, Zingiberales, Zingiberaceae.